This 615-nucleotide small RNA is filed under the name Pandorina morum. Its description in RNAcentral is "eukaryotic LSU rRNA". The stretch from base 219 to 372 matches the Rfam family "5.8S ribosomal RNA". Lineage: Eukaryota; Viridiplantae; Chlorophyta; Chlorophyceae; Chlamydomonadales; Volvocaceae. The record is from RNAcentral.
AAUCUAUCAAAUCCACACACACGUGAACCAUCCUGUUGACCAUCUGUGUGCACCAUGUGUGCCCACAGAUUGGGGUGGAAGCCGUCACAAGCAUUCAUCCCAGGCGUCUAUGCAUCUCGCAUGCAUAGGCUCAGGUCUUUACUAACUCAACCAACUAUCUAACUAAAAUAAAUAAAACCGAUUGUAUGGCUAAGAGUCAUGCAUUCACUAACCAAGACAACCUUCAACAACGGAUAUCUUGGCUCUCGGAUCGAUGAAGAACGCAGCGAAAUGCGAUACGUAGUGUGAAUUGCAGAAAUACGUGAAUCAUCGAAUCUUUGAACGCAAAUUGCGCUCGAGGCUUCGGCCAAGAGCAUGUCUGCCUCAGCGUCGGGUUAAAACUCACACUACCCAACCGGGUAUGUUGUGGAACUGGCUGUCUCAGCAUGCAUACGCAAGCUGGGUCAGCUGAAGUGCAGAUGUCAACACAUGGACCCGCUAAUGGGCCUCUACUGGGUAGGCAAUUUAUUGCUACAUGCUUUAGUAGAUGGCUUAGGAUCUGUGACGUGGACACAAAACAGGAGCAUGCCUUGUGCAUGCUACAUGUACCUUUUUUCGACCUGAGCUCAGGCAAGA